GCGGCCGCGGAGCUCCGGGUGCCGCCGCGUCCCCAGCGCCCCGGCCGGCCCCUCUGGGCGGCCUGCGGGGGCGGCGCAGUUGCGAAACUGAGUGCCUGUGUAGAUCAUCCUAGAAUACCUGUGUGGUGCUGUCCUUCCUCAAGACUACCUCAUUCUCACUGGCUCGGAGACUCCUGCCUGCUGAGGAGAGUGGUAGAGGCACAGAAGAUGAUGAGGCUGUUGAACUGUGGAGGCAUAGAUUAGAGUGACGUGGUCACAAGCCAAGGAACACCUGAAGCCACCAACAGCUUGAAAAACAAGGAAAGCUUUCUCUCCUGCAACCAUUGGAGGGACCCUGGCCCAGCUGGCACUUUGAUUUCAGCCCAGUGAAAGUGAUUUUGAGCUUCUGACCCCCAGAACUAUGAGAGGAAAAUUUUUGUUGUUUUUAUGCUCCCCCAGUUUGUGGUAAUUUGCUACUGCAUCUCCAGGAAACUACUGCACUUUGUACUGAAACAAAUGUAAAAAUAGAU
RNAcentral lists this long non-coding RNA (509 nucleotides) under Homo sapiens (human). Its description in RNAcentral is "non-protein coding lnc-SSPN-6:1". The record is from RNAcentral. Lineage: Eukaryota; Metazoa; Chordata; Mammalia; Primates; Hominidae.